This 942-nucleotide ribosomal RNA is filed under the name Bacillus subtilis. RNAcentral's name for it is "bacterial SSU rRNA". It matches the Rfam family "Bacterial small subunit ribosomal RNA", at positions 8 to 929 of the family's 1533-position model. The record is from RNAcentral. Lineage: Bacteria; Bacillati; Bacillota; Bacilli; Caryophanales; Bacillaceae.
AGAGUUUGAUCAUGGCUCAGGACGAACGCUGGCGGCGUGCCUAAUACAUGCAAGUCGAGCGGACAGAUGGGAGCUUGCUCCCUGAUGUUAGCGGCGGACGGGUGAGUAACGCGUGGGUAACCUGCCUGUAAGACUGGGAUAACUCCGGGAAACCGGGGCUAAUACCGGAUGGUUGUUUGGACCGCAUGGUUCAAACAUAAAAGGUGGCUUCGGCUACCACUUACAGAUGGACCCGCGGCGCAUUAGCUAGUUGGUGAGGUAAACGGCUCACCAAGGCAACGAUGCGUAGCCGACCUGAGAGGGUGAUCGGCCACACUGGGACUGAGACACGGCCCAGACUCCUACGGGAGGCAGCAGUAGGGAAUCUUCCGCAAUGGACGAAAGUCUGACGGAGCAACGCCGCGUGAGUGAUGAAGGUUUUCGGAUCGUAAAGCUCUGUUGUUAGGGAAGAACAAGUACCGUUCGAAUAGGGCGGUACCUUGACGGUACCUAACCAGAAAGCCACGGCUAACUACGUGCCAGCAGCCGCGGUAAUACGUAGGUGGCAAGCGUUGUCCGGAAUUAUUGGGCGUAAAGGGCUCGCAGGCGGUUUCUUAAGUCUGAUGUGAAAGCCCCCGGCUCAACCGGGGAGGGUCAUUGGGAAACUGGGGAACUUGAGUGCAGAAGAGGAGAGUGGAAUUCCACGUGUAGCGGUGAAAUGCGUAGAGAUGUGGUGGAACACCAGUGGCGAAGGCGACUCUCUGGUCUGUAACUGACGCUGAGGAGCGAAAGCGUGGGGAGCGAACAGGAUUAGAUACCCUGGUAGUCCACGCCGUAAACGAUGAGUGCUAAGUGUUAGGGGGUUUCCGCCCCUUAGUGCUGCAGCUAACGCAUUAAGCACUCCGCCUGGGGAGUACGGUCGCAAGACUGAAACUCAAAGGAAUUGACGGGGGCCCGCACAAG